Molecule: ribosomal RNA, 492 nt
Filed under: uncultured bacterium
Lineage: Bacteria
Description: partial 16S ribosomal RNA
Rfam family: Bacterial small subunit ribosomal RNA
Source: RNAcentral
AGUGAACGCUGGCGGUAGGCCUAACACAUGCAAGUCGAACGGCAGCACAGUAAGAGCUUGCUCUUACGGGUGGCGAGUGGCGGACGGGUGAGGAAUACAUCGGAAUCUACUUUUUCGUGGGGGAUAACGUAGGGAAACUUACGCUAAUACCGCAUACGACCUACGGGUGAAAGCAGGGGAUCUUCGGACCUUGCGCGAUUGAAUGAGCCGAUGUCGGAUUAGCUAGUUGGCGGGGUAAAGGCCCACCAAGGCGACGAUCCGUAGCUGGUCUGAGAGGAUGAUCAGCCACACUGGAACUGGAACACGGUCCAGACUCCUACGGGAGGCAGCAGUGGGGAAUAUUAGACAAUGGGCGCAAGCCUGAUCCAGCCAUACCGCGUGGGUGAAGAAGGCCUUCGGGUUGUAAAGCCCUUUUGUUGGGAAAGAAAAGCAGCAGGUUAAUACCCCGCUGUUCUGACGGUACCCAAAGAAUAAGCACCGGCUAACUUCGUG